Molecule: ribosomal RNA, 437 nt
Filed under: uncultured bacterium
Lineage: Bacteria
Description: partial 16S ribosomal RNA
Rfam family: Bacterial small subunit ribosomal RNA
Source: RNAcentral
GACGAACGCUGGCGGCAUGCUUAACACAUGCAAGUCGAACGGGAAGUGGUGUUUUCAGUGGCGGACGGGUGUGGAACGCGUGAGAACCUGCCCUUGGGAGGGGAACAACAGCUGGAAACGGCUGUCAAUACCCCGUAGGCUGUGGAGCAAAAGGAGGAAUGCGCCCGAGGAGGGGCUCGCGUCUGUUUAGCUUGUUGGUGAGGCAAUCGCUUAACAAGGCGAUGAGCAGGAUCGUGUCCGAGAGGAUGAGCAGCCACACUGGGGCUGAGACACGCCGCAGACUCCUGCGGGAGGCAGCAGUGGGGAAUUUACCGCAAUGGGCGAAAGCCUGACGGAGCGAUGCGGCGGGGAGGUAGAAGGCCGACGGGUCCUGAACUUCUUUUCCCAGAGAAGAAACAAUGACGGUAUCGGGUGAAUAAGCACCGGCUAACUCUGUG